AGUGAACGCUGGCGGUAGGCCUAACACAUGCAAGUCGAACGGCAGCACAGGAGAGCUUGCUCUGGGUGGCGAGUGGCGGACGGGUGAGGAAUACAUCGGAAUCUACUCUGUCGUGGGGGAUAACGUAGGGAAACUUACGCUAAUACCGCAUACGACCUACGGGUGAAAGCAGGGGACCUUCGGGCCUUGCGCGAUUGAAUGAGCCGAUGUCGGAUUAGCUAGUUGGCGGGGUAAAGGCCCACCAAGGCGACGACCCGUAGCUGGUCUGAGAGGAUGAUCAGCCACACUGGAACUGAGACACGGUCCAGACUCCUACGGGAGGCAGCAGUGGGGAAUAUUGGACAAUGGGCGCAAGCCUGAUCCAGCCAUACCGCGUGGGUGAAGAAGGCCUUCGGGUUGUAAAGCCCUUUUGUUGGGAAAGAAAUCCAGCUGGCUAAUACCCGGUUGGGAUGACGGUACCCAAAGAAUAAGCACCGGCUAACUUCGUGCCAGCCGCCGCGGUAA
Molecule: ribosomal RNA, 504 nt
Filed under: uncultured bacterium
Lineage: Bacteria
Description: partial 16S ribosomal RNA
Rfam family: Bacterial small subunit ribosomal RNA
Source: RNAcentral